AGUCGUAACAAGGUUUCCGUAGGUGAACCUGCGGAAGGAUCAUUAACACUAAAAAAACAAACCCAAUUGAUUGAGGCACUUUUUUUCUUCUUUCUUUCUUUCUUUCUGAGAGAGAGGGAGAGAGGAGAGAGAGAGUCUCUUUCUCUUAAAACACCCUUGUGAACCAGUUUGUGUGCGUUAAGAGGUCUUUUUUUUUGGAUGGCCUUUUGAGUAUUUAUUUACUCGAGAGGCUUUUUAAAAGAAAGAGACUCCUUUUCUCUCACUUACAACCCCUUUUUUUUCAAUAUUUUAUUAAACACCUUUAACCCAAACCAAAAACCAAAACCAAAAACAAUAAUAAUAAACAAAAAGUAACAACUUUUAACAAUGGAUAUCUUGGUUCUCGC
Molecule: unclassified non-coding RNA, 386 nt
Filed under: fungal sp.
Lineage: Eukaryota; Fungi
Description: partial internal transcribed spacer region
Rfam family: Eukaryotic small subunit ribosomal RNA (bases 1-45)
Source: RNAcentral